UUUCGACUUGUCGCCUUCUGGGG
Molecule: microRNA, 23 nt
Filed under: Petromyzon marinus (sea lamprey)
Lineage: Eukaryota; Metazoa; Chordata; Hyperoartia; Petromyzontiformes; Petromyzontidae
Description: pma-miR-4585
Source: miRBase by way of RNAcentral